This 492-nucleotide ribosomal RNA is filed under the name uncultured bacterium. RNAcentral describes it as "partial 16S ribosomal RNA". It matches the Rfam family "Bacterial small subunit ribosomal RNA", at positions 28 to 507 of the family's 1533-position model. The record is from RNAcentral.
GAUGAACGCUAGCUACAGGCUUAACACAUGCAAGUCGAGGGGAAACGACAUCGAAAGCUUGCUUUUGAUGGGCGUCGACCGGCGCACGGGUGAGUAACGCGUAUCCAACCUGCCCAUCACUUGGGAAUAACCUUGCGAAAGUAAGACUAAUACCCAAUGAUAUCCCACGAAGGCAUCGGAAUGGGAUUAAAGAUUUAUCGGUGAUGGAUGGGGAUGCGUCUGAUUAGCUUGUUGGCGGGGUAACGGCCCACCAAGGCAACGAUCAGUAGGGGUUCUGAGAGGAAGGUCCCCCACAUUGGAACUGAGACACGGUCCAAACUCCUACGGGAGGCAGCAGUGAGGAAUAUUGGUCAAUGGGCGAGAGCCUGAACCAGUCAAGUAGCGUGCAGGAAGACGGCCCUAUGGGUUGUAAACUGCUUUUAUAAGGGAAUAAAGUGGGUCACGUGUGACUUUUUGCAUGUACCUUAUGAAUAAGGACCGGCUAAUUCCGUG